RNAcentral lists this ribosomal RNA (188 nucleotides) under uncultured Bacteroidales bacterium. RNAcentral describes it as "partial 16S ribosomal RNA". It matches the Rfam family "Bacterial small subunit ribosomal RNA", at positions 146 to 334 of the family's 1533-position model. Lineage: Bacteria; Pseudomonadati; Bacteroidota; Bacteroidia; Bacteroidales. The record is from RNAcentral.
ACCUGCCGAAAGGCAGACUAAUACCGCAUGUUCUUCGAUUACGGCAUCAGAUUCGAAGCAAAGAUCCGUCGGUAACGGAGGGGGAUGCGUCUGAUUAGCUAGUUGGCGGGGCGACGGCCCACCAAGGCGACGAUCAGUAGGGGUUCUGAGAGGAAGGUCCCCCACAUUGGAACUGAGACACGGUCCAA